GUGAAUGAAGCUUUCGAGCUUCGACCACUGCCAUUGCACUUUGGCUGUGCGCUUCUCCGGAGGCUUGCACGCCAAUUUGCAUUGAUUCUCACACCUGUGCACCUUUCGAGAUGUGGGAUGUGGAAGAUUUUUAUUUUCCAAGCCCCCGUCUCGCUUUUUACCAAACCACUGUCAUGAAUGUACAAAACCUAUAACUUAUA
This 200-nucleotide unclassified non-coding RNA is filed under the name uncultured Auriculariales. RNAcentral's name for it is "sequence contains ITS1". Lineage: Eukaryota; Fungi; Basidiomycota; Agaricomycetes; Auriculariales. The record is from RNAcentral.